CAGUCGCCGCGGUAAUACGAAGGGUGCAAGCGUUAAUCGGAAUUACUGGGCGUAAAGCGUGCGUAGGCGGUUUGUUAAGUCUGUUGUGAAAUCCCCGGGCUCAACCUGGGAAUGGCAAUGGAUACUGGCAAGCUAGAGUGUGUCAGAGGAUGGUGGAAUUCCCGGUGUAGCGGUGAAAUGCGUAGAGAUCGGGAGGAACAUCAGUGGCGAAGGCGGCCAUCUGGGACAACACUGACGCUGAGGCACGAAAGCGUGGGGAGCAAACAGGAUUAGAUACCCCCGUAGUCCCUGUCUCUAUACC
RNAcentral lists this ribosomal RNA (301 nucleotides) under uncultured bacterium. RNAcentral's name for it is "partial 16S ribosomal RNA". It matches the Rfam family "Bacterial small subunit ribosomal RNA", at positions 509 to 808 of the family's 1533-position model. The record is from RNAcentral.